UACGUAGGGGGCAAGCGUUGUCCGGAAUCAUUGGGCGUAAAGCGCGUGUAGGCGGCCCGGUAAGUCCGCUGUGAAAGUCGGGGGCUCAACCCUCGGAUGCCGGUGGAUACUGUCGGGCUAGAGUGCGGAAGAGGCGAGUGGAAUUCCUGGUGUAGCGGUGAAAUGCGCAGAUAUCAGGAGGGAACACCGGUGGCGAAGGCGGGUCUCUGGGCCGAUACUGACGCUGGAGGAGCGAAAGCGUGGGGAGCGAACAGG
RNAcentral lists this ribosomal RNA (255 nucleotides) under uncultured bacterium. RNAcentral describes it as "partial 16S ribosomal RNA". It matches the Rfam family "Bacterial small subunit ribosomal RNA", at positions 524 to 776 of the family's 1533-position model. The record is from RNAcentral.